Non-coding RNA from Leptonychotes weddellii (Weddell seal), 1468 nucleotides. The record is from RefSeq and is a predicted model, not a curated record. NCBI's taxonomy places the organism in Eukaryota, Metazoa, Chordata, Mammalia, Carnivora, Phocidae.
UCUCUCUCUCUCUCUCUCUCUCAAAUAAAUAGAUAAAAUCUUUAAAAAAAAAAAAAAAAAGUUAAGUCAGACCAUGCUGGCAAACUCUGGAAGAUUUGUUUCUGUGAUUGGUUGGCCUCCUCCAAAAAUAUCAAAGAGCCACUUCAUUGUGGAAAUACCAGUCAGUAGUAGAGAAUUCAGUCUUCGUGUCUCGUUCCCGGCAUGUAAGUAUAGAGUAACAGAUACUAAUAUUAGUGUUGUUACUGGGGUUUCCAUGGAACACAUGCAAGUGAAGCUGGAUUCUUCUGGACUUUAAAUCCUAAAAGGUCUUAAAGAUUGCUUCAUGUAGUUCCCUCUUAACUUCCACGUGGCCUCGCAAAAGACUAUUAGUCAUAGCCUGGAUUUAUAUAAUCCGGGACGCCCUUUAGCUGAAAUAAGGAGCUUCAGAAGGGAACACAAAACAAGUGAACAGAUAGCCAAAGGUCAGUGAAACCACAGAAUUUCCUCCUCCUCCAGCCGAUGCCAUGGAGGGAUGAAGGGACAGUUUACUCCAGGCCAAGGUCGCCGAGGGGUGUUGUGUUGUGUCCUUCUCCCCAGUGCUUAGUGUAGAGAAGUCCACAGAUUCAUGGGAAACCAUUGAGUGCUACUUGACUCAGAUAACCUUGUUUUCCUUCAUAAGUCAAACCUCUCAUUUGUUGUGGGGUUCGGGCUCUUGGCGACAGAAGGCCGGGGUCAGACAGGUAGGUGAAGGUCAAGGAUGGGGGAGUUGAUUGCCUUUCUCCUCUAGAGCCCUAACUCCCCUUUGUGGUCCACUUGCCCACAGGCCUGGGGUCGCAGACCAACUCGAUGGGGGACAGGCUCCCGAGCUCUGUCACUCUUUCUUGUGAAAGUUCGCGGGUAGGGAUUCUGAAGGUAUUUGCUGUGUCCACGUGUAGAACUUCAUCCACUUUACCUGGUGAUCUGAUGAGCAAGAGGAGUAGAAGUGAGAUGUAGAAGUAAAAUAAACAUUUCUCAGAAUAAUGUGUUUUUAUCUUUUUCCAGAACCAAAGCCUUUAGACUUUUGUAGAACUUUCUGGAUUCUUUCUGAAUCAGUGUUUUAUGUAAAUAAACAUAAAUGAAGAAUGGAAAAGGAGUUCUCUGACGAGGCACAUCAACCUAUUUCUUGUUCUCCCUCUCUGCUACGAAGGAAAUGUGUUGUAGAAGGACAGACACCAAAUAAGGAGUAUCCCGAAAGGGACAUUCAAAUUUCUUGCGUUUUUCAGCGCAUCCCCUGGGACUGCAGAUGGGCGCAUGGCAUUAAUGGAAAGGUGUGCUGGGAAUGAGCCUACAUGAGACUUUUAUGAGAUCUAUUCGCAUUUGGUGUUGGAACAGCCACAUAGCAAUGUGGUUUUUUUUUUUUAAUUGUAACCUUCUGUGUAAACAUUGGCACCUUAUUAAAAAUUAAAUGUUUGAACUUUACUUUUAAAAAUAAAACAAGCACAGUCCUCAA